This is a long non-coding RNA of Carcharodon carcharias (great white shark), 290 nucleotides long. RefSeq lists it as uncharacterized. The record is from RefSeq and is a predicted model, not a curated record. The transcript has 3 exons. Lineage: Eukaryota; Metazoa; Chordata; Chondrichthyes; Lamniformes; Lamnidae.
CAUAAUUGGACACGGAUCUCAGUCAGGGAAAGAGGCAGCAGGAGUUUGCUUCCCAAAGCCUGUGUGUGGCCUGAGCACCAUUCGCCAGUCUGCUGCUGAUCAGUAUGUUAUGUGGAUUCAGGGAUGACGUUUCCUCUGGCUGGGGGUUUAGAACAAGUGGUCACAAUUUCCUGGAACAGGGUAAGCCAUUUAUCAGUGAGAUGAGCAGAAACUCCUUGGCUUCCUGACUUAUCAAGAACAGCAAAACAGUUGACUUGCCCAAGCCCAUCCUGUCUAUGGAUCAAACGUCG